UACGAAGGGGGCUAGCGUUGCUCGGAAUUACUGGGCGUAAAGCGCACGUAGGCGGCUUGUUAAGUCAGGGGUGAAAUCCUGGAGCUCAACUCCAGAACUGCCUUUGAUACUGGCGAGCUUGAGUUCGGGAGAGGUGAGUGGAACUGCGAGUGUAGAGGUGAAAUUCGUAGAUAUUCGCAAGAACACCCGUGGCUAAGGCGGCUCUCUAGUACGGUACUGACGCUGAGACGCGAAAGCGUGGGGAGCGAACAGG
This 253-nucleotide ribosomal RNA is filed under the name uncultured bacterium. RNAcentral describes it as "partial 16S ribosomal RNA". It matches the Rfam family "Bacterial small subunit ribosomal RNA", at positions 524 to 776 of the family's 1533-position model. The record is from RNAcentral.